GUCGAGCGCGAACCCCGCAAGGGGGGAGAGCGGCAAACGGGGUAGUAACGGGUAGGUGACGUACCCUCGGGUUGGGGAUAGCCACGGGAAACUGUGGGUAAUACCCAAUAAUCUCCUGAGACGUGAUGGUCUUGGGAGCAAAGGUGUGAUUCCACCGGAGGAGCGGCCUGCUUCGUAUUAGCUAGUUGGUGAGGUAACGGCUCACCAAGGCUUCGAUGCGUAGGGGGUGUGAGAGCAUGACCCCCACCACUGGGACUGAGAUACUGCCCAGACACCUACGGGUGGCUGCAGUCGAGAAUCUUCGGCAAUGGGCGCAAGCCUGACCGAGCGACGCCGCGUGUGGGAUGAAGGCCCUUGGGUUGUAAACCACUGUCAGAGGGGAUGAAGUGCCAGAGAGUUAUCUCUUUGGUUUGACAUAGCCUCAGAGGAAGCACGGGCUAAGUUCGUGCCAGCAGCCGCGGUAAUACGAACUGUGCGAACGUUAUUCGGAAUCACUGGGCUUACAGGGUGCGUAGGCGGCUUGCUAAGUAGGGUGUGAAAGCCCCCGGCUUAACCGGGGAAUGGCGCCUUAAACUGGCGAGCUGGAGUGAGAUAGGGGUGUGCGGAACUUCCGGUGGAGCGGUGAAAUGUGUUGAUAUCG
RNAcentral lists this ribosomal RNA (640 nucleotides) under uncultured bacterium. RNAcentral's name for it is "bacterial SSU rRNA". It matches the Rfam family "Bacterial small subunit ribosomal RNA", at positions 61 to 699 of the family's 1533-position model. The record is from RNAcentral.